AGGCUUUGAUAUGUUGUCAAAUUCUAUAUCUUGAUCGGAAUCGCUUAAUACUUUAUUCUAAGACUGAUUUCUUUGUCUGAGUUGUCCAUUCAGUUCCUGAACGGCUAUAUUCCUAAUGAGGUCAAUAGUUGAGUUUUGUUUCAGUGUUUCCUUAACCAUGUUCUGUAUUUCUUGUCUAAACGUCACGUGGGUCAUAACAAUAUGCACAAGUUCCUCAUUUAAUUCCAG
This 228-nucleotide long non-coding RNA is filed under the name Mytilus galloprovincialis (Mediterranean mussel). Lineage: Eukaryota; Metazoa; Mollusca; Bivalvia; Mytilida; Mytilidae. The record is from RNAcentral.